This 834-nucleotide long non-coding RNA is filed under the name Selaginella moellendorffii. Its description in RNAcentral is "long non-coding RNA (SMOE_LNC002144)". Lineage: Eukaryota; Viridiplantae; Streptophyta; Lycopodiopsida; Selaginellales; Selaginellaceae. The record is from RNAcentral.
AAGCUCCAAAGCCUCCACAACUUUUCAUUGCCAAGCUUCAAUUUCCUCAAAACAACUUGAAGAUAGGGACUUCUAACUAGCUCGACCAUCUUGGCUUAACAAUUUUGUAAACAAAGUACCUUGUGAAGGCUAUAAGAUGAAACAAAAAAGCUAUGAACUAGUGAAAAAACUAUAGCACCUAUAACCAGCAUACUUUGUAGGGCACUCUCCAGUUACUCCAAAUGAGUAGUGCAAGAAGAAGUGUGUCAUUGUGACAGCGACGCCAGAGUACUUCUGAACUUGGGGCAGAAAACUUCUCAAGCAGCAGGCAUGUUACUGAGCAAGUACGCGAGUAGUGGAUUCCGUCCAGAUUUCUCUCCCGGAUCUGCGAGUGGAGCCUCUUCUCAGGUAAGUCGCCAUGUGCCUUGAGUGCCAUCAUGAAAAGUCUGAGCGUUUGGCUGCCGGUUUGCUCGUAGCACUCAAGAGCAAAGGUUGUUCUCGGCAUAUCCCAAGAAACGAUGUUUUGCUGCUCCAUGCAAAGUCUCAGCGUUUGGAGGCAGGCCAGCUUCUCGUUGCAUCUGAUAGAAGACGUGCAUGUCCCAUGAUGAUCGUGUUCCAGGCAACCAACGUCGUGUUUCUUUGUCCUCCUGAACACUUCUGAUGCUUCCACAUGUCCACGAGGCUGCUUGCGACGAAUGCAUUGGCUCAAUUUGCGAGGUAGACCAACCUAUCCUGUUCUUCGUCCCAUCCUGUCAAACAAGCCGCAGUGUAGACUUCGACCAUACUUCCACAAUUUUGCACUUGCUUGAUUCCCGGCUUAUGAUGCUCUUGACUCUGGAGAAACUUAUCUGGCCG